CCUACGGGAGGCAGCAGUGGGGGAUAUUGCACAAUGGGGGAAACCCUGAUGCAGCGACGCCGCGUGGGUGAAGAAGCGCCUCGGCGCGUAAAGCCCUGUCAGCAGGGAAGAAGAUGAUGGUAGCUGCAGAAGAAGCCCCGGCUACCUACGUGCCAGCAGUCGCGGUAGUACGUAGGGGGCAAGCGUUAUCCGGGUUUACUGGGUGUAAAGGGGGCGCAGACGGCGAAGCAAGCCAGGAGUGAAAGCCCGGGGCCCAACCCCGGGACUGCUUUUGGAACUGCGUGGCUAGAGUGCAGGAGGGGCAGGCGGAAUUCCUGGUGUAGCGGUGAAAUGCGUAGAUAUCAGGAGGAACACCGGUGGCGAAGGCGGCCUGCUGGACUGCAACUGACGUUGAGGCCCGAAAGCGUGGGGAGCAAACAGGAUUAGAUACCCCUGUAGUC
This 440-nucleotide ribosomal RNA is filed under the name uncultured bacterium. RNAcentral describes it as "partial 16S ribosomal RNA". It matches the Rfam family "Bacterial small subunit ribosomal RNA", at positions 338 to 795 of the family's 1533-position model. The record is from RNAcentral.